GCCAGGUCAGCUGUCCUCUGCUCUUAGUGGCAGUGUCAUCCAGCUGUGAUAGCUGAGUAGAUUUUCUCACCCGCCAGUGGCAGACAGGAAUUUUUAGCAGCUGAUAGACCCCGGAUCAAUAACUUACAUAAAGCAGCUCCUGAGUCACCUCCAGCAAGUGCACACACGUGAAAUUGGGGAGAAAUAGUCUUGAGCUUGUGCUGCUCUGGGAUCACAGAGUGGGGAGAUUGAGAGGGCCACAGUGCAGCUCUUUUCUCCAGUCUCCCACAUUUUCUCUUGGAGCAGGAUUUCUCCCCAGGUGUCUCCCACAUUUUUCUUGGAACAGGAUUUCUCCUCAGACUGGCUCAAAAUUUGGAUUCCUGGCUCUGGGAAACUGGACCUCAGCCCUGCUCCGAGACUUUCUGUGUCCUGUUGAAGGUCUGGAUCCCCUCAGCACCCAGCAGGAUUCCUCCUGCCUCAGUCCUGCCUCCAACCUCAGCAGCUGAGAACAGACAGUUAGGCCAUGAUAGUUUCAGAGCGCCCUUUGUAAACAUCAGAUUCUGUACAUCUAAUUCCAUCUCUCCCAAAAACCAGCAGUGGGUGUUGGAUGUGAAAUCCCGACCCUGCUGAGGAUUCAGCAGAAUCUUGAACCAUUCCCAGAAACCUUUGAAAUCUGCACAGAUGCUGCAGUCUGAGAAGCCUCCCACUGAAAUUCAAGCAGUACAGUUCUGUUCUUCCCAGGACAGGGCUCUUGGAAACUGGGAGGAGGAAGAGAAUGGGGCAUUCUCCAUCCAUAGGGGUAUAUUAGGUCACCAUAUGGAUUUUCUGAGUGAGUUUGGGCAAGUUAUUACAAAUCAAUGCAAAUUAGUUCGGCUUUGCAUCCAAGCAGCCCAAUAAAUGGAUUGAAGCAGCAGACUGGAACUUGCUUGUGCUAACAGUCAUCCUGAUCACUCCUUUUUCCAGCAGGCCCUUACCAGGUCUGGAAAAAUCCUUUCCCAAGGAUCUU
Molecule: long non-coding RNA, 985 nt
Organism: Passer domesticus (house sparrow)
Lineage: Eukaryota; Metazoa; Chordata; Aves; Passeriformes; Passeridae
Exons: 4
Source: RefSeq, a predicted model, not a curated record